GCAUGAUCCUCGUGAAUCUCAUUUAGAAGUUGUUUUUCACAUUCUAAGAUAUCUGAAAUCUGUCCUUGGAAGAGGACUUCUUUUCUCAAAGUACAGACAUCUUCAAAUAAAGGCCUUUACAGAUGCAGAUUGCACUAAAUCUUUUAAUAAUAGAAGAUCAAUGAUAGAAGGUCAACAACGGGUUAUUGUAUUUUUGUUGGUGGUAACCUGGUCAUUUGGAGAAGUAAGAAACAAAGUGU
Molecule: unclassified non-coding RNA, 239 nt
Filed under: Hevea brasiliensis (rubber tree)
Lineage: Eukaryota; Viridiplantae; Streptophyta; Magnoliopsida; Malpighiales; Euphorbiaceae
Source: RNAcentral